Molecule: long non-coding RNA, 207 nt
Filed under: Phoenix dactylifera (date palm)
Lineage: Eukaryota; Viridiplantae; Streptophyta; Magnoliopsida; Arecales; Arecaceae
Description: long non-coding RNA (PDAC_LNC021658)
Source: RNAcentral
AGUUGAGUUGGUUAUGAUGCACAUAGAUGGCUUAAACAAUACGUCAAAAUCUUUAUCACAUAGUUGACUAAUGCUAAGUAAAUUGUGUUUAAGACCAUCUACAAACCGAACAUUAUCAAUAAAGGUUGAAGGUGUGAUUUGUAUCUUACCAAUACCCAUGAUGUGACCUUGGUUAUCAUCUCCAAAAGUCACCACACCUCCUUUCUU